GUUGUUGUCUUUUUGCCGCAAAGCUUAGGAAUAGCCGACUGGCGAGGCCGCCCGUAUGCGGUAGUAGGGGCCAGCACUCAGGCGGGACCAGGCGUGGAUGGGUUUGCUCUGCUGGGUGGCAGGCGGCGGCCACGCGGGUGCGGCGAGAGGGGACAGGUUGGGGCUGUUAAGAGAGGGUGCCAUUUGUUUGUGCGCGUCAUGUAUUUGAUGGCGCGCGUGGACGGAGGGGAGCCGGACGAGUGGACGGUGUAGUCUUGGUCAGGAGGGGGAGCGCCGCGCGCACUGUCCGCUCCGUCUGGCUUCUACCGUUGCCGUCGGAGGCGGAGGCGGAGGGGGCGGCGAGACGCGCGGUUUUGGGGUCGGGGCCCGCGCGUGGGGUCGGGCUUCAGGUCGGAGCGUAAGGGCACCGGAAGGGGGCCGCGGAGGCGCAGGCGGAGGCGCCGACGGAGGCCGUCCGAGGUGCGGUCGGAGGUGGAGCCGCCCCAGGCGCCGCAGCCGUGGCGGUUGCCGUGGCCGGAGGUGCACGACGUGGGGCUGCAGUUCGGCGACCGGCACGGGUUCUACCGGCCGCCGCGCCCCCGCGUCUUCUCGUAGGACGAGAUGGUGACGCUCCUCUACUCCCUAGAGCGGGUCGUCCACCGGCGGGCCUUGCUGCUGUAGCUCGAGACGUGGUAGAGGACCUCCUUCAAAGGGCUACCUAAAGGUCUAAACAAGUAUGGUUUACGGGUCUUGUAAGCACCCGCUGUACAACGGAAGAAUCGUAGUAAGUCGAGCGGACCACAGUAUAAACUCGUUUAUAGCUAAUAUAUAUUAGACGGUUUCGACAAGUAACGAAGUAAAUGAAACUAUGACGGUAAAAAGGGUUGACCCUGAAGGCUCGCAUACCUUCUGCUUCCUCUACAGCGUUGGCGGAAAUGUGAACGAUCUUCGAACAGUGUGUAUGGUUAUAGGUCUCCACCUGGGUGGUCAAAUCACUAAAAACUAUAAGUACGAAACGUCCUCUCUAAGAUGAAACCUCUACGUUAGAAUGGUACAAAGCUCUCACCGUAGGGGAACAACUUUUCAUCCGAAGUCCUCGAUGGACUAAGACUAUUGUAUCGGUAUCGAAAAGGUCUACUACCGCGUACCUUCGCGAAGAUAUUCGUUGAGGUUGUAAAAGGAUACUAAUAUACGUUGUUUCAAUCUCUUCCACUAGUUUCUUAACACGCAUAUUUUCUUCCUCUACGAUCUCCGGCAGUACAACAAUAUCACCUACUGAACCACGUCAGACCACCAUGAAACUAACUUACGGUCUUUCACAACCGACGAGUACCUCGUCGUUUCCAAUCACGUAUGCAUUGUGUACCGUAAAAGGGGUUGUUUAGUACCCUCUUUAAAUUCGGACUAUUACCUCUCCCAGGCCUCGUGCGGGACUCGGUGAAAACCUAAUGGCUGAGCACGGGAGAGUGUCAACUUCGCCAGUUCCUGUCUGCCGGCAAACUUUAAGAGUCGGACCGUCUAAGAUAACGAAGACGAGAAGUCUAAAUCGUUCGGCUAAACCCUUCACAAGUUACCUAACAACCCUGGUGUUUUUGUAAAGAUCCUAUCAUACGGAUUAUUGAACCGUCCUGUUCGGUCCACUCAGUGUACAAACGAUAUAU
Molecule: ribosomal RNA, 1640 nt
Filed under: Triticum aestivum (bread wheat)
Lineage: Eukaryota; Viridiplantae; Streptophyta; Magnoliopsida; Poales; Poaceae
Description: partial small subunit ribosomal RNA
Source: RNAcentral